GUUAAGGUGGCAGAUCAGUGCAUAGGAUUUAAGAUCCUAUUAGAAAAUAUAUUAUUAUUUUUCUUAAUA
RNAcentral lists this transfer RNA (69 nucleotides) under Chtenopteryx sicula. RNAcentral's name for it is "tRNA-Leu". The record is from RNAcentral. Lineage: Eukaryota; Metazoa; Mollusca; Cephalopoda; Oegopsida; Chtenopterygidae.